GUCUCUUCCCAUCCAGGUCAAUGCACUCAAUGGCCAGGAACUGCCUCACGUCACCCAUUACACUGAACCCAUCACUCUGCUCACUUCAGGCAAUCAUUGCGAAACCAUAUCCUUUUUCCUCAUGGACUCCCCUGUAGCUCCCAUUGUCUUAGGUCACCCCUGGUUAAUGAAACAUAAUCCACGAGUGGAUUGGGGUUCCAACACUGUCACAUUGUGGAGUGAAAGUUGUCAUGAGUCUUGUCUGGUUUCUGCUUGUCCUGUUGUCCCUGUCUCUGUUUUGCAGAGAGAGAACAUGGUAUUAUCAAACGUGCCCGAAGAGUACCUGGACCUGAAGGAAGUGUUCAAGAGGGAGGCCAUGGAGAAAUACAUUUCUGAUUCCUUGGCCUCUGGGUUCAUCCGCCCUUCCUCUUCUCCAGCGGGGGCGGGGUUCUUUUUUGUGGCAUCACCACUUACCUUCGGCUCGAUUCCCCGCAGUUCCUGUGCCAUCCUCUCCUGCUGCCAACUCACCAUCACCAUCUGGAUUACUCACCGUCUCCCACCAUCUUGGAUUGUCGUCUUCCCAGCGUUGUUUGUAUUCUUGUUUGUUUUGUUUGGUUCUCAUUAAACUGUUUCAUACUCGCACUUGUUUCCAGCUUCUCCUUCACCCAGUCGUCACA
Molecule: long non-coding RNA, 656 nt
Organism: Cyprinus carpio carpio
Lineage: Eukaryota; Metazoa; Chordata; Actinopteri; Cypriniformes; Cyprinidae
Source: Ensembl